GUAGGGGGCAAGCGUUGUCCGGAUUUAUUGGGCGUAAAGAGCGUGUAGGCGGCUAGGGUAAGUCUGACGUGAAAUAUCGAGGGCUCAACCUCGAAAGGUCGUUGGAAACUGCCUAGCUAGAGUCCCGGAAGAGGAGAGUGGAAUUCCUGGUGUAGCGGUGAAAUGCGCAGAUAUCAGGAGGAACACCUAUGGCGAAGGCAGCUCUCUGGGACGGUACUGACGCUGAGACGCGAAAGCGUGGGGAGCGAACAGGAUUAGAUACCCUGGUAGUCCACGCCGUAAACGAUGGGUGCUAGGUGUGGGCGGUGUCGACUCCGUCCGUGCCGAAGCCAACGCAUUAAGCACCCCGCCUGGGGAGUACGGCCGCAAGGCUA
RNAcentral lists this ribosomal RNA (374 nucleotides) under uncultured organism. RNAcentral describes it as "partial 16S ribosomal RNA". It matches the Rfam family "Bacterial small subunit ribosomal RNA", at positions 527 to 896 of the family's 1533-position model. The record is from RNAcentral.